AACCAGAUAAACCACAUUCCUUUGACAGCCUUCUCAAAUCUGCGUAAGCUGGAACGAUAUAUCCCUUCAUCUCUCAACGUGCGGGGUUUCAUGUGCCAAGGUCCUGAACAAGUCCGGGGGAUGGCCGUCAGGGAAUUAAAUAUGAAUCUUUUGUCCUGUCCCACCACGACCCCCGGCCUGCCUCUCUUCACCCCAGCCCCAAGUACAGCUUCUGCGACCACUCAGCCUCCCACCCUCUCUAUUCCAAACCCUAGCAGAA
This 259-nucleotide long non-coding RNA is filed under the name Pan troglodytes (chimpanzee). RNAcentral describes it as "long non-coding RNA NONPTRT004880". The record is from RNAcentral. Lineage: Eukaryota; Metazoa; Chordata; Mammalia; Primates; Hominidae.